This 253-nucleotide ribosomal RNA is filed under the name uncultured bacterium. RNAcentral describes it as "partial 16S ribosomal RNA". It matches the Rfam family "Bacterial small subunit ribosomal RNA", at positions 524 to 776 of the family's 1533-position model. The record is from RNAcentral.
UACGUAGGGUGCAAGCGUUGUCCGGAAUUAUUGGGCGUAAAGAGCUCGUAGGCGGUCUGUCGCGUCGGCUGUGAAAUCCCGAGGCUCAACCUCGGGUCUGCAGUCGAUACGGGCAAACUGGAGUGUUGCAGGGGAGACUGGAAUUCCUGGUGUAGCGGUGAAAUGCGCAGAUAUCAGGAGGAACACCGGUGGCGAAGGCGGGUCUCUGGGCAACAACUGACGCUGAGACGCGAAGGCAUGGGGAGCGAACGGG